ACCUUAUCAAGAGAGGUGGAGGGAAGGGCCCUAUGAAACCCGGCAACCGGCUUUAAGUAUCGGUGCCAAUUCCUGCAGGAUAAAUAUCCUGAAAGAUAAGGA
This 102-nucleotide non-coding RNA is filed under the name Acetivibrio clariflavus. RNAcentral describes it as "Clostridium clariflavum SAM-I sequence". It matches the Rfam family "SAM riboswitch aptamer (S box leader)". Rfam says of the family: The SAM riboswitch is found upstream of a number of genes which code for proteins involved in methionine or cysteine biosynthesis in Gram-positive bacteria. The SAM riboswitch acts at the level of transcription termination control. The record is from RNAcentral. RNAcentral also lists the same sequence under 1 other name. Lineage: Bacteria; Bacillati; Bacillota; Clostridia; Acetivibrionales; Acetivibrionaceae.